Molecule: long non-coding RNA, 13250 nt
Organism: Chrysemys picta bellii (western painted turtle)
Lineage: Eukaryota; Metazoa; Chordata; Testudines; Emydidae
Source: RefSeq, a predicted model, not a curated record
ACUGUCCUUAGUGUGGAUACACACGUUCGACUUUGUAAUAUCGAUUCCACAUAUUCGAUUUAAGUACAAUUGAACUACUCUCGUAGUGUAGACAUACCCUAAGGGACUUUUAUAGUGAAAAUGUAGCCUCUGGGGGAUUAUAAGUGCCUCCAGAGUUAGGCAGCAGCUGAGUGGAGGUUCUGAGGAUCUCAGUGGUGUCUAAGUAGUGCCUAAAGUGGGAUUAUGGCCUUGUCUACACUUGAAAUACUACAUCGGCACAGCUACACUGCUACAACUGUGCCACUAUAGUGCUUCAGUGUAGACUCUACCACUGAUGGGAGGGGUUUUCCCAUCGACAAUCCACCUCCCCAAAAGGCAGUAACUAUGUCGAUGGAAGAACUCUUCUGUCAACCUAGCGCUAUCUAAUCUGGGGGUUAGAACAGUUUAACUACAAUGCUCAGGGUGUGGAUUUUUCACGCACCUGAAUGACAUAUUUAAGACGACUUAAUUUACUAGUAUAGACCAGGCCUUAGAUGCCUAUGUGCUUUUGGGGAUUAAACCCUAAAUCUUAUUUUCAAAAGUGACAUAAACACUUAGGAACCUAAGUCCUAAGAGAGUCUUAGGCCUCAUUUUCAAGAGACUUAAGAUGGUCUACACUACUCUGAAAACGCUUCAGCAGCACAAGCUGCACUGCAGCAGCUGCACCACUGUAAUGUUUAAGUGAGACACUAUCUAUGCCGAUGGAAGGACUUCUCCAGUCAGCGUAGGUUCUCCACCUCCCUGAGCGGCAGUAGUUCCUAGUGCACUGGGGAUUAGGUUGGUUUAAAUGUGUCAUUCAGGACUGUGGAUUUUUCACACCUCUGAGCGAUGUAGUUAUACCAACCUAAUUUCCUAGUGCAGACCAUCUUAAGUCUCUUGAAAAUGUGAUUUAGGCUCCUAAUUUGCUUAGGUAGUUCUGAAGAUUUUAUCCUGUUACUAGACCCUGACAUACACAAAUCUAGAGCCAAUAAGAUCAGGUACCUCACCUGAUCUCAGCAGUCAAGCUAUUAUAUGGAGAGAGGGCCCAUAUAUGCUAGGAAAUUGACUGUUGAGAAUGGAUUUCAGCAGUGAGUUUCUGCUGGAGAUUCUUUAACUGCUGGAAACAAUUUAGCUGUCAUUAUAGACAGGACAAAAUGGUUUUCAACUCUAUAAUAGAAAACAUUAUAGAGAUUGGUGGACCAUGGUAUACGUGGCUGUAAAGCGUCCUCUCCGCAAUAUUAAUACAACCAUGUCAGGGAACCAGGACGCUACACAGUUUUAUGCCCUAUAGACACAAACACAGUUUUAAAGGGUUUUUUGUUGUGUGUAUAAACACAUUGUUUAGGUACACACAUACUUUUAUGCACAUGUGAAUAUUUGUGUUUGUUUGCUUGGAUUUGCACUUAGCAAUGUUAACUCUAAUUCCAAAAUAAAGUAAGUUGAAUUUAAAGUAUAUGAUCCACAAGAGUAACAGUUCUUUUUCUUCAACAUUUUCAGGUCUUAUCUCUGCUGACCCUUCAAACAUCCAUGUCAAUGAACCUGCAUGCAGGAAAAACACAUAAGAAUUAGGUACAGUGCUCCUGUCAGCUAAUUUCUAAGUUAUUAUCUGCAAAAAAAUUAGAGUUUUCACGUGCCUCCGUAGCUCCUGGAAUCACAGUUAAAGUCCCUUCUCCCCAAAAAUCUGAAAUGGCGCUCCUGCAGUUGGACCUUUUGACAUCUGGGAAAGUGUGGAAAGACAGUUUAAAUUUAACCUAAUCACAAGAUCUUCCCUUAUCUCUGUGUACCAUAUGGUAGUCAUGGACAGCAGCCAAAAGUCUGUCUUCAUCAAAUGGCUUAUUAUUUAAAAGAACAAUGUGGCAUUAAGGCAACUCAUCUUCCAUUAUUUAAAACAUAUUCAAAAUGCCACUAGUACCAUGCAGGUAAGUUGCAGAACAGGCUCUGCAGCAGGAAGUAGAACUUGUAUGCAAAUCACAAAUCAGAAGUGGAAAACGUCAGUCUGAAAAUCUCUGAGGGGGAGUGAAUCAGUAACAGAGGAAAACUACUUUAAAGUUAAAAAAGUCCCUUGAAAUGUUUCUGUCCUUACAAACCAGGCUGCUGUUUACCCCGCACAGAUAAGUAACUGCAGGGGAAACCCAAUAUGAUUUUCAGACAUAAUAUUCAUGAGUGGAAAAACUUUCUGAUUUUUUUUUUAAAUACUAGAAUGUAUAUUGUCAGUGCCAACAGCUCAAAAAUCAUGAGUUGGGCCACCAAAAAUCACGAGAUUGUCUUACAAAUCAUGUGAUUUAAAAUGGGUUAUUUUUAUUUGUGUUCUGGUUCUUGAGUCUUGAAGGUUACACUCAAGUAACAUUUUCAAACUUUUCUCCACAACCACGUCUAGGAACAUUUGUUGAAAGAAAUUAAAGUUGAGAUUCUCAUGUAGUGACAGAACUCCAGCAGCUGGGACUUUUAAUUAAAAUAUCAAACAUGGCAAGAGUUGGCAACAUUGCAUAGAUAUUAGAAGCACUUCUGGUAUCAUCGAGCUUGUCUUCUUGCCAGUCAGGAUUUUCUCCACAGUAUAUUCUCUAGUGCUUUCUCCAAUCUAGCUUACAUGUCCCCAGGAAACUGGCUUUCACCACUUCCUAGUCCAGUAGAUCUCACUGUCAGGCCUAUUAGCCUACAUUUUCCUUGCUUAAUUUCACCCAUUCCUCCUACUUAUACUCCUAGGUGCCAUGUUAAUUCAUUUCUCCUCUUUGGUGUUUUCACCUUUCCAGUAUUUGUAGGCAGCCAUCAGGUUCCCCCUGAACUCUAGCUUAGUCAAGCUAUACAUAUUUAGCUAUCUAAAAUCAUCCCUCAGAAGUCAACUCCUCCUGCUGCUUGGUUGUUUUUAUUGCUCUCUUCUGAACUCCCGCCCAUUGAUCACUAUCUUGGUAAAGAGGCACCCACAACUGAAUGCAAUAUUUCAGAUGUGGCCAUAGCAGAGAGCAGGGAGGUAACAGAACCUCUGUUUCCUUCCCCUCUCCCCUCCCCCCGGCUCCAUGAUGCCUUUGCAUCAAGUUUCCAGGCACGUCAGUUCUUUGAGUGAGCAUUACCUGCCACCUCUUCAUAAUACAACCCCUAAGUCAGGCAAGUCUUUUCUGCAGCCAUGCCACGUUGCAAACUGAUGCCUAAUUUACUGGCCAGGGGUCUCGUUCAGCAUUACUGCUUCUAACCUUAUUUUGAAAAGUACAAUGGUACUCUACAGUAAUAGGUGAAAACACUGUGCCUUAUAUUAGCAACACUGCCGUGUUUUGGGCUUUUGCUGUAGAAUACUGUGGUAUAUUUCCUGGAGAAGCCCAUGUUUCAACCAUCCUUCGCUAGACUGAAUGGACUUUUUCUGGAGCCCAUUAUUGCUGUACCUUGAUGGGCAGGAAAGAUUCCUGCUGAGCAUCUUGUAAUACUCCCUGUCACACUCCCCUUCCACUAAUGGGCUGAGCAUGCUGUCUCCCUUAGCUGCCCAUAUCAGCCUUACACGUGAAAGACGUGUAUGGGUCCAUAAUUGAACCCAUAUUUCCCCUCUGGGGCAUUGCAAAGCAGUAAUACUAGGCCACCGGAACAAAGCCAAAAUGGCUGAUUGCUAAUAGUUUCUUCCCUUCUCAGAUUAGCAUCAGGUCUAUGGCUGUUGAUGCCCAUGGCAAACUGGAAAACACAUGCCCUUCACUUCCCACAAUCCCUAAACAUUUUGCUGCUCCAGGCAACCACCUGUUCUGCCUGUAUAAUAGAGCCAGCCUUGGAUGUGACGAACAUUCCUACCAAUUAAUGUGGCAUUAGUAGUGGUGCUAUUAGCGUGGCCUUUUAAUCAGUUUAAGUUUAAAGCCAUCUGUCUGUAACUAAGAUGUGGUGUUUUGCUGCAUGCCUAUUUUUCACAGUGAAAGCCCUUCCUCUGACAGCUGUGAGCUUUGGCAUUUUACGGCACUGUUCUGUAGUAAGACUGGGUUUGAUCUGAGAACCUUCACAAAGCCAUAUUUUACAACGUGCAGAUUUGAUAAGUGCAGCUACAGCGAGGUAAUUCUUGGUUGCAGCUGGCUUGCUGGACUAGCUGCAGCAUGCGUGCUAAGCACAGACACCCGGUAGGUGUAGGCUCUGGAGUUUCUGGCUGGGCAUAUCAGUGAUGGUGACUCAUUCAGGGCAGUUCAGGCAAAUACCAUAUUUACUGAUAUAUAAAGCUAAGCACAAUUUCCAGGCAAAACUUUUGGCUUAUACACUAAUCAAGCAAGGAAAGAGGGGAGCCAGGAGUUCUAAUGAGGGGUCCCCUAAGUUACUUCCUAUUUAAGGAAGACUCUUCCAUAAUGUCUUAGCUGAGGAGCACAGGGGCAGUGGGAGAAGAAUAAGUUUACAUGCAGGACAUUUAUGUUUGUUAGUGUCUGCAGGGAAGAGAAGAGGAUUGGCUUUCUGGGAAUUGGUUUAUAAGUGAGUAUAUACGGUAGAGCCUUGCAUGUUCAUCAUCAUUGUCUAACUAGGGCAAUGAACUGUGAAGGAGACUAAAGAAUGUUUAUCAAUCAUUCAUGCAGCACAUUAACCACUGCUCUGACUCAAGGGCAAGAACUUCAAAGUUAUGGCUUUGUGGACAUAAAUGGCACUGUCUGGGUCCAGACUCUCCAUGCUGACCCCUCCCAAUCCCAACAUCUAGACAGAGUGAACAGGGAUUUUCAACAGGUGAUAUCUAACGUUACUAGCAGUCCUCCCAGCACACCUAAAUCCAAAAGCAUAAACACCAGGGCUCCCCAACACAAACAUUCAAACCUGAAAGGCAUUCAAAGCUGAAAGGGUUCUGAAGUCUGUAACUGUUUUUUGCAAACCUGGUAUUUGUAGUUGUCAGAUGACAGCCAGCUGCUGAAAUGUACAAGGGAAAGUUCUCACUAUGAGCUGACAGCUGCCUGCUGGCACCCACAGCCUUUCUGACCCUGCAUGUAGGGAAAUGAAAAUAACUCAGUUUCUGGUGGCCGAGUCAUGAUUUCACUUCUGUUUCUAUGGAAAUGGGCAUGGACUGGCAGAAGAAAAGGUACAUACAGUGUGUGUAUAUGUGUGCACGCACGCACGUCUGCAUAAAUACAUACAUAACACACAUAAAUGUUUUUAAAAAACAUUUUUGAAGGAAAUCCACUUAGGUAGUGAAGUUAUAUUGGAACCCUGCACUUCUCAGGUUACGAAGGGAAUCAGACCAUUGAAAACAGCAUUUUGGCUUCUACGUAAACACUAAUUUAGGACUCCGUCUCGUAAACAUUUAUUACUGGGCACAAUGCAUAAACCAUCGAAGACACUGGGAUUACUCAAGGCAGUACAUACUUUACCUGGUAGUUCAUAUUUGCAGGAUUGGGCCUAAGGUCAUGAAUACUUUUAUUGUGCACAGUCUUUCUAGGUUUUUUACUAUUCAGGAGCCUAUUUAUAAUGGGUAAAGAAGUUUGUGCUUUGGUGCUAAUUUUCACUUGUGGGCCACUGAGCCCUAAUAGUAUUUGAUACUUGAUGGGGACUGAAUAAGCAGGACUCUUAUAUAAUAACAAUAAAAUAAUAAAAAUAAAAUAAAUAAUAAUAAUAAAAGAAUAAUAAAAGCACAACCCAAAAUGUUUCCAUCCAAAGGGGAACAUCACAAGAAUUAAUAAAUAAAGACUCAAACCCCCCUGCAUGGUAGGAAAGUACAAUUAUCUCCAUUUCACAGAUGGGGUAACUGAUGCCCAGAGGAAGGUAUUAACUGCUCUUGUGCAGCUCCCCAGUAGAAUACCCCCAACACAAGAGGCCCUCUCUGCUAGAAAUGGAGAGAUGGUGCCACUGGCUCAAUCCUAGCAGGACCAUCUAGGGUAGGGAGUCUGUUUGGGGUGGGUGGACAUGUGGCAGGGUCUGACCAUAUGGAACGUGAGGUUAUGACAGUAGUUAGAACAUCCUUAAGGCUGCACUAACCUGCUCCAGGGGGUCAGCUUGGCCCCAGCAACCUCAGCAUAGAGGAGACACCAAGCCUCCCCUCUUGGUCCCUGCACUGGAGGCAGGAUUAAUCCAGCCUAGAGAAGAUAAGUGACAUGUCCAAGGUCACACACAAUGUCGGUGGUAGAACUGGGAAUAGAUCCCCAAAAUCCUGAGUCGUCAUGUUCCUUAAUCACAAGACCAUCCUUCCUCUUACAAAAUAAAAGAAAGGAAAGAUUCCCACCUGUCUCAGUCAAAUUACAGGGCUGCUCACAGGGGGCUAAUUAGAACCAACUAGGGAAGAGACUGGAGUCUGAGAUCUGCUGGUGACUUCCCCAGGUGAUUUAUUCCAGGGGACCAGUGGACUGAGUUUGCCUGACUGACACCAAUCCAGGCUUUGUUAGCAAAAUACUUUUCAGCAGUGACAAUCACAGGACAUGCCAGAAGGGCGUCUCUUGUCUAAGACAAGUGGAUUCCAGCUACUCCCCCUGCCUGCCAACUUCCCCACCAGCAGGCUGCUGGCAUUCUGCCCGAGAACAGCAUGCAGCAGCUGACCAGUCUGUUUGCAGUCUGCACCUCCACUAUAUGAACAACUGCAAGGGAACUCUGGGCCACAGGGAAACCAAAACCAGGACCUCAACACAUGGAAUGAACGGUUUAUACCCUUUAGUUAGUGCCACUCCAUUAUGGCAAAAGGAGAUAGUCACAAUCAUGGCCACACGUGCAGCAAAAAACAUCAUUUCAUUUUUGGUGCUGCAGCUGAUUAGGCGAGUUGAAAUGGGGAGGGAAGGGGCAGACACCUGAAUUAAUAUCUGACAGAGUUUUUAAAGUGCUGAAAAAAAUUAGAUAUAUUGAACAGAAACCUUCAAAAAUCAGCUCCUGAUCUCACUCCACUCGGGUGUUAGUACGCCAUGGCCCCAGGCUUGAAUGGGAAGAACUGUCCGUGGGCAGAAAGCAUCGAUACUCUCACCAAUGGCAUUUAUUUGUGUGAAAGUCUUUGUAAUACGUGUGCGUCUAGAAUCUCUCACCUGAGCAGCAGCAGCAGGAAUUCUCUGUUCUGAUACUGGUUGUGGAAGUUCUUUAUAUCUGCACUGUGUACAUAUUAGAAUCAGACGAACACUUUCAAUUUUACCCCAUGAAAGGAUGAAAGGGGCAGAAAACAGCUGAAAGCCUGUCAGAGGGAGAGGAGGUGAACCUAAUCAGCACAGCAGUAUCCCUCCCCUUAUCUUAGAUUUUGACAUUGUGAUUCUGACCGUGGUAGCUACGGUAGCUACACAUUGGACCCUCUUUGCUGACUGACGGUUUGGUGCUCUGCAGAGGGCAUGGCUGGCAGGGAGGUGGCAGAGCCCUGGAUAGCUCACUUUCCACAGCAUCAGUAAACCCAUGAUGAAAAACCCAGGGGUCAAUAUUGACCUCUCUCUGCAGAUUGCCACUCUGAACAUGCAUCCCCUUUUAGAAGUGGUGUUUGUGAUCCAAGCACAGGUGAAUGCUCCAAGAUCCACAAGUUUGUCCCAGACCUUAGGAUAUUUAGAUGCAGGACUGGAGGACUAGUCUCUGUCCCUUUGUAGCUCGCCAAACCUCACCCACAGGAAGGCAGGAUGCUGCAGAAACUUGGUCUGUUUCACUUAAUUUGGUCCUUGUGAAGCUUUUUACAAGUGGUGGUAUAACCUCACUGAAUUUUGUUUUUUAACAAAAACUGCACAAAAGAUUAUCAGUGCCUGCCAAGGUAAUAUUAUAACUCUAAUGGUGAAAACCCCUUUUCCUGAGGGUAUACAUUGCCAUCAUCUGUUCUGUCUAGAUUGAGAGAUUCAAUUACAUUUGAUUCAGCAUCUCAGAUUAAUGAGCACCUGCCCUCUCCUCCCCGAGCCACAUCUAUUGCCUGUUGCUUUCUAAAGGCCUAAUCCUACAGCUUGGAAGUUUUACCAUUGACUUCAGUGGAAGCAGGAUCAUGUCCAUAAUUCCCAUUUGUACAGUAUUUCAAGCUGAAUGCGACGUGUCAUGUUGGACCCUCUGUUCUAUAAAAUGCAUAUUCAUAUUCUAAGAGCAGAACAUGACUGGGCUUGAUUGACAAGGCAGAUAACGGGAAGCCUUUGUAUUAGAUGUGGCUGGUAGACGACAAGAUCUUCAGGAUUUGGAAUAUUUUUCAUUUGAUGGGAAGAAAAUGAUACAGUCAAGCAUAGUUUCUUUCAUUACCACCCUAGUCUGUUUAUUCAGAGGACUAUUUAGUAACACGUUUUUGCUUCCAACUGAUUAACUUUUUAAAGAAUAGCAGUCAAGUUAUUGAACUUAAAAUUAAAAUAAAGUAACAAUUUGAAUUAAUAGAGAGAAAAUUAAUUCACAGAGAGUUUGCGCAGUACCCUUUAGGGUAAAUAGGUAUUUAGUUACUUUUCCUAAUUCUCCUCUUGGCCACAAUCUGCCAGGUAAUUACCAUUUUUGCACUCCCAGGGAAACUGGGACUUCUCUCUUCCCCUUCUGGCUGUUUGAGAUUCCUAUAGAAAUGGUCUUUUAGGCCUUUGCUUUGCUGUUUGCUAGUUAUAUCCUGGUGUGAUACCUAAAAGGAAAAAACACAGUUCCUCUAAGUUAAUUUAUAAGAUGCUUCCAAUUAAUCCUCUCUUAAUGAUAAAAAACCCUCCUGCCAUUUGUUAAAAACUUUCCCCACAGUAUUAUAUAUCCUCUUAAUUAAGAACAGAAACAAACUAAUACCUAUUUUAUUCCCUCUUGCUUCCAAUUAGUCCUCCAUUGCUCAUUACCCACCAGACACUUGACAAUUAACAGAACAAAAAUUCCCCAACAACAGGAUAUAUAUUUCUUCAGAAAUGACACGUCUAGAAUAAUGAAAGUGACACAGCCUUGGUGUGUAAAGGGGCAAGAGGCAGGAACGUAAAGCCUCCCAUGUGGAUCAAAGACAUAUGGAACAUAUGCAAAGGCUACAUAGGUAACAUGUGUUUUAUACGCUCCAUGUAUAUGAGAUCAUACAGAGCUGGGUUACAACCCUGCCUAAUUUGGAGACACAGGAGCAAAAGAGAGAAAUUUGGCUUUCAUUUUAUAAAAGGGUUCUCUCCCCCCUUGCCCUUGACAUUUGCCUCGAAAAUGUAAAUCAAUUGCUUGGUUUGGUAGCUUGUCACUGAUUUUUCGUAAAGACCACGGGUUAUUCAUAGUUCCCCACUAGUCACCCAGAACUGGACUUGGAGGGCUGUGUAAACCAUGCACACACCUCCCUCAACUGACUGCAUAGCCUCACCCAUCUUGAAUAUCCAAGAUCAGUUUCCAGCUCUGGUGCAGUGUUUUCCUGGCUCCUGAUAGCAAAACAGCCAUCACAAAUGACCUCCCAGACAACUGACUGUUGCUCGUGCGGAUCCUCUGCUGUGUAGCUAGUGUGACCUGGAGGAGAGGCAGCAUGGAAUAGGGACCAGGAAUCCAGCACUUUCAUUCAAGCUUUAAAUGAUGCCCUCUCUGGUCCUGGGCACGUCACUUAUGCUUUCUGCUUAAAUGUUCCUACUUGUAAAUCUGAUCUGUCACAGGUAGAGCCAACAGCAGAGUCAGAUAUUUAAAUGUGUUCGUAAACACCAGCUGUGCGCUAAUAUUCACCAGAACACACAAAACCUUCUAGGUGCUGGGUGCCUAAUGACCCCCAAUGCCCUGAUUGUUUGCACACUUACCAACAUCUUACAAAGUUUGCAAGGGACAAUUAUGCCCAGACCCCACCACAAGCUGCACUUUUAUAGCAGGAGGGGUGGGGGUGGGGGGCGCAAUUGGGGCCAAAGAUCCCCCUCCACUCGUUCAUGAUGUAAAUUUAGUCCACUAGGUCUGGGGCAUAUAUAAAACAAAUCACUUCGCUCAAUUUCCCCCAAAUCUUCAGACUGAGCCUGUACAGAAUAGCGCACCGUGGUGGUCUGAAAUUUGUUAUAUUUCUUGGGGAGGCAGCAAAAUAUUUGGCAAGCCUGUCCAGUAACGAUAUAUUGAGUCAAUUGUAUUGCUAUGUCAGGGCACUUUUCCCAUAUUACCCUCCUGCCCCCCAGUAAAUGUAUAACUUACUGUUAUAUGGACUUGAGAUGCUGAUUCGGCAAAGUGGCUGGAUGCUUAACUUUAAGCAAAUGCGAAGCCUCCAUUGAUGUGAGACUGCUCACAUGCUUAGAGUGAAGGGUGUGCUAGAGUGCUUUGCCGGAGUGCUCAGCACCUUGCAGGACUGAGCCUUGGGGACACAGACACGUCCUUUCCACAUGUGGAGCUGUACAGUGGAAGGAGGCGGCAUUAGAUUUGGAUUUAUUCUCCAUGCAGCCAAUAGGGGAAGUGGAGAGUAGCAUACACAGUCAUUCUUUUUAAGAUCUCCCUAUAUUUUAAAGCUAACCUCACACUCUUUUAAUAUACUUGUGUGAUCAGUUUGGAGUCUCUUGUGAGUAUUCUUACCCCUCCCGAUGAAAGAAAGAGGGCUAGUGCUCUAUUAAGCCAAAAUCUGCUUUAUUUGAUUAUAAGCCAGACCUGGCAAGAGAGCAGUGCCAUAGAUCUUACUAUAUGUUGACUAUUGGAAUACAAGUCAUUCAUGCUUUCACUCCCAAUGUAAUUUAGAGAUCCUACAAUCAAGCGGAGUGAGGACAGUCAGAAUCCCUCUCUCUAAAGGGAGCAUGAGCCAGAGGUUGGGGCCUGACGGAUACCCCCUGAGAGAGGAGAGAGAGAAAAAACAAACAACUUUCUACAAAGGAGGAAAAAAUCUACAUAUUAAAUCAGACCUGUUUAAAAUACUGUUUAGGAAAGUAACAGACAAAACUGAGAUAAAAGUGAAGUUCAGCCACACAGGCUGUAGCAGUCACCAUCUGAGCCCUUAGCCCCCAAUUCUCAGCUGCUUUGAGUCACCUUUCAGUUCUGGGCCCAACUGGGGGGCCCAUGGCUGCUCUAACGUAAGCUCAGACACUUGUAGAAUAGCUGGAGCAUUGUGGCCACACAGUCCUCAUGCCACCCCCACCCAGGGUGCACCCUGUAGGCCCUUUAUAUCAGCUCUGCCCCACCCAGGGAUCACUCCUGAUGUGGUAUUUCCUGGCUGGAGGAAUCAGAUGGUAUAAUGGGGCUGGAAGACAGCCUAAACUUGGGGCUUAGUCACAGACAUGCGUAGAAUUGAAGCGGUCCAUAGGCCUUUGGGCAGGCCUGCUGCACAGGGGUGCAGGCCUUUAAGGAUCUUGUGAGCAGAAGUGAUGAUAAACCGUUCAGCAAACUGCACCGAGAGCUACAAACGUGCAUCGUACAUGGAAGCUGAGAGCAGGGGCUCAGCAGCAACACUGACACCAUGAAAAAGCAAACCAGAGCCUUCACUGGUCUGGGACCUUCUCUUUGCUGUGUGUAUGUGGGGUGGGAAGUAAUCUUAUUUCUUUGACCUUCGCUCUUUACACCAUUCUGACAGGGCUUAAUGCUGAAUUAUUCCAGAAAAUGGGCAGAAUGAUCAAUUCUCUGUCCCGUACCCAUAUGGCUAACAGUCGUUCAGAUUUAGAAAGCACUUUCCCAUAGUGAGUCACACUUGCCGUUUCCUGCCUUGUCUAAAUAAUAUUCUAGUUAAACAGUGGAGAUUGCUACAUUCUGGUAUGAAAAACUGGAGCACAGACCCACCAACAUUGUCAUAAUCUGAUUACAUGACUCCCUGGCUGGAGUUAAACACAUUGAUGCUGCAAGCACAGCUGGUGCUGCAACCUUUAAAUCUGUCUGUAAAUGACAUGAUGUACUUUCAACACAGCCUGCAAGCUAGUGACCCAUUUUUACCCCCGUAAGGGCAGUCUCCGAAUCCACCCUCUUUUCUCCUCUGUCUGCUCCUCCCUGCACACCCAUGCCACAGGCCCCAAACUGCAGUUACUCUCCAUGGAUGGCUGGAUGUGCCUCCCUCAGAAGUCUGCUUAUAUUGCUCUUUGCAUCAACCCACCACUACACUGCAUGCCGCUACCACAACUCUUCUAACCCUCCGUUGUUCUAGGGACAAGAAUCAAACACAUAAGUACUCGGACACAAAAAUUAGAGUCUACUCUGUUGUUAGACUGUCCUCUCCUCUAAUCAGUUACUUGUCAGAGUCCAUUUUUAUGUCUUACAAGUAAUUGUUCUCUUGUUUUUCCUAGGAUGAAUUUCUCAGAGAAAGGGGAAGAAUAGGAAGGAAUUGAUUAGUGUAUUUACUGCUUUGAAUUUUUAACAACAGCCUCUACCUUUUCUAACACAAAUUUGAUUUUGUCACUUGCACAUAUUUUUGCGUACAGAUGUGGAGUCCGGUUUGAAGCUCCUUGGAAAAACCAAGGGCCACUAGGUUAGUGACUACUCUACACAGAAACCCUGGCCCCAUUCAGGUUAAUGAAGAAAUUCCCAUUGACUUCAAUGGUGCCAGGAUUUCACCUCAUAUAUUCAAUAGAAUUCCUUCCCCUCGGUUUGGCUGUGAAAAUUUCCAAGGUAACUAGACCUGAGGAUUUAGAUGGGAGAGAUCAAACAUCCAAUACAGGUGAAAUCUCAUCUAACAUCUGAACCUGCUUUAGUUUGUAUAGCUAAACUGUCUCGCUUCCUAAAUUAAGAUAGUAGGGAGGACUGUUCCAAUUAACACUACAGAAAUCCUUUCAGUGGUGAAUUCCCUGCACGUGAAUUAAUCACUGGGAAUUAUAAUUGCUUUCUAAUGGGACUGUAGAAAUGUAACUCUGGAAUCACAUAGCAAACAGCCUCUAAUUAUUCUUUUAAGAUGGAUAGUCCCCUACCUGUCAUGACAUGAGAAAAAGGUAAACAUCCUUCCACCUGUACUGUUUGUAACUAACACUCUCUAACCCCCUCUUAAUGGUUAAUGAGUAUAGUACACAUAUUAAAAGAGGAGUCACUGUGUGAUAGCAGCUCUUGUACACUUCCACAUUAUCUUGAUUUUAACCUCUAGGUCCCAAUAAGUAUUUAUACUAAUUUAAUUAUUGCAGUAUCUGAGUGCAGGGCAGUUAUGUGCUAAACCAACAAAUAUGAGGCAGUCCUCCAUUUACUUUGUAGGUCUGGUGGGUCCAUCUUCUUGGCUCUACACUACUUUCAAAUUUGUGGACUCCACUAGAGACACCCGCAUAGGAAUAUUCUCCAUUUUCAAUUAUUUUUUUAGAUCUAUCAGUUAACCAGUUUUUAAUCCAAUCAAUAUAGGAUACGUUGAUUUUCUAUAGUGCUAAUUUUUUAAAAUUCAGAACUUUAUGUGGGACUAAGUCAAAUGCAUUACAGAAGCCUAAGUAUGUUAUGUCAACACCUUUAUCAACCAAAUUUAUGAUCUCAUCUUGUAGGAGCUGGAUUUUAUGAGAUUUAAUGUAUGAUUUGAUUUCAUCCUGUCAGCCACCCUUUUUGAAUAGCAGAAAGGAAUGACAGAC